Non-coding RNA from Pimephales promelas (fathead minnow), 1354 nucleotides. NCBI's taxonomy places the organism in Eukaryota, Metazoa, Chordata, Actinopteri, Cypriniformes, Leuciscidae. The record is from RefSeq and is a predicted model, not a curated record.
CUGCUGACGGUGUGGCUCAAAGAAGCUCUGCGCUCGCCAGGCUUCCCAUCAUCGCGUGUCUCCGAUGAGCAGAAAGACACGUUCAGUCAACAAGUGCUCAGGGAGCGAGUGAACAAGCGGCGAGUGAAAGACAUCGUGAAGGAGUUCACCCUAGUGUGCCGUGGCCUUCACGGGACCGAGUACGCCGCAGAUUACUGAGACACGGUGUGAGGAAACCCAAAAUGUACAAUUCCCAGAAGCCCUCACUGCGACAUGAAUGAUACUGACAGUCUGAGAGUCGGGAUCUUCCUCCAACUCGUCCUUCUCUCUCUCUCUCUCUCUCUUUCAACCACUCUCCCAUUGGAUUUUGGGGUCUCCGUAGGGCGAUCCGAACAGUCGACAUCUCCGCUCCCCGCAUCUCACGGCAUGUUCGCUGGAUUUGAUUCCCCCACGUUCGAUCUUCCGUGGCUCUCGGGCUGUUUUCCUUGUGAUGAUUUGCAUCCGUUUGAACUAAGAAAUAGUGUUAGGUAAAUGUUUUUUAUUUUUUAUUUUGGAGAAAUAAAAAGCAUACAUAUAUAUAUAUACACGCAUAUAUAUAUUAAAAUAUAUAUAAAUGCACAUAAUAAUCUAGUGAACCGUGGGGUGACGAGUCCGUGUGCUGCUAACAGAGAGAGGGACCAAUACAGACUUGUUUUUUUCUCUGUGGCUUUAUAUCUAUCCUCUAUAUCUGUCUGUCUAACCCCUCCUCACACUCAAUUCUGCCAAAAUGUUGUGGACGUUUUUUGAUAAAAUGAUUAUGAUUGUUUUUGAUAUACAUAUAUAUAUAUAUAUAUAUGAGGUCAGCAGCAUAUUUGGGGACUAGUAGAGACUGGGUGUUACACGGUGAGAAAGAGAGAUCCGCAAAGAUGAUAGUUCACUCAAAAAAUUGGCUUAUUUACCCACCCUAAUGUUGUUCUAAACUAGUAUGAUUUCUUUCUUUAAAAAUUCUCCUUUUGUGUUUGAUUGAAGAAAUAUAGUCAAACAUGUUUAAAAAUGACACAAGGGUGCAUCAAUUAUUUUUUGGGUGAACUGUCCCUUUAAAUUUGGUUGGUACAUGCACACAAAUCAAACAAUUGAGUGCACUCAAGUAAUUGAACAGGUACUGCUUGUCUCUUUCUCGUUUCGCCCGGCUGCUGCUUGCCGACAUGUAGCAUGUGUGUUGCGUUACAUACGGGCCCAGAAUGUGUCGUAAUCAGUGGAUGAGGGCUGACUGUUCUAUCGUGUUCGUUUACUAGUGAGUCACAGAGUGAGAACAGAAGGGAGAGACAGAGGAGUCAAAUGUACAUUAGUUUUUUUUGUACCUUGUUUUAAUUUAUUAAAUACAUCUGAGAUGGCA